GCCCCCGUAGCUCAGCGGCUAGAGCGACUGCCUUCUAAGCAGUAUGUCGCAGGUUCGAAUCCUGCCGGGGGUG
This 73-nucleotide transfer RNA is filed under the name Caldilineales bacterium. RNAcentral describes it as "tRNA-Arg". It matches the Rfam family "tRNA". From Rfam's summary of the family: Transfer RNA (tRNA) molecules are approximately 80 nucleotides in length. Their secondary structure includes four short double-helical elements and three loops (D, anti-codon, and T loops). The record is from RNAcentral. Lineage: Bacteria; Bacillati; Chloroflexota; Caldilineae; Caldilineales.